Molecule: long non-coding RNA, 1156 nt
Filed under: Canis lupus familiaris (dog)
Lineage: Eukaryota; Metazoa; Chordata; Mammalia; Carnivora; Canidae
Description: lncRNA (ENSCAFG00000055087.1)
Source: RNAcentral
GGAAAAGAGUUUUAUUUCAGUUUCCUUCGAAUUUAGACCAUCCUAUAAAAAAACAUGAGAUGUCUUCAAGGUACAGUAGUACUCACAACAGACCAAGAUAGAGGGACUAUAAAAGGAAGUAAAAAUGUUUAUGAACAAUACUGUUUGAAGAUAAGACCGGUCAAGUGGGUCAGUAUAAUUAAAAUAGUCAACGUGGCAAGGAAUUAGUCUGAAAGUAAUCAUGAGAAUCCCUAAAAGAAGCAGUUCCCUGAACUGCCCAUUCCAGAACCAUCUAGAAUAAUAAGUUCCCCCAGUGAACCAGACACAAAUCUGUGUAUACCUGAGAGGGCCACUAGUCUACCCAAUUCCAUUCUUCACUUCUUCUUAGUAACAUUACCCUGAUUUUAUUGGUGGUAGUGUAUCUAGCUAGAAGCAACAUUUCCCAGCUUCUCCUGCAAGUUGGUGUGGCCAUAUGACUAACUCUGACCAGUGAAUGUAAGUAGAGAUUGGUGUAUGUUCUUUCUGAGAAAGCUCCUUUAUGGGGAAUGAAGAGAUGGGUGUGAAUUUUUGUUUUCUACCCAUUCCUCCCUUCCGCCAUGUGGAAUUAGAUUUUAAGACUGGAUUUCUCUAGCAAAUAUCUAAGAACAUGAAAUUAUCUUGAACUCAGAAGCCACAAAUGACAGAACGGAUUCCCAAUGACUAAGAAACUGCCAUGCCAGCCAGCCCUGCACUGCUGCAGCAACAUUCUUUUGUAAGAAGGAAAGUAAACCUGACAUGUUUAGGCGCCUAUCAUCAUAUACCACCAAAUCCUAAACACAGUGAUACUGGCAUUUUCUUGGCCUUACCAGAUCCCAACAGAUGACUUUCAUUUUCACUCAACUAUAACUAUCUCAACAAUGCCAUCUGGUUGCCAGUGAGAGCAGCAUAUCAUUUGGAAAUGUUAAAAUAUGGGGGGAAAUGCACAUCUUAAGAAUUAACAGAACAUGUAUUCAAGUUUUUAAUUCAUCCUGUUGCCUUGGCUUGCCUGCAGUCUUACUGGUAAACUCAUUGCUUAUGAGACAUAGGGAAGCUGGAAGCCUCCAGCAUAGGAAGUUGAAUAGCCAUGAGAGCAUGCCUUGUGCAUAGUCAUCACAGAAAGGCAGCUAAAGGAAAUGCAAUCUAACACUGCUAUUGCAAC